AAACAUAACAUAGAGGGUCCUGCCUGCCCAGUGACAGAAAGUUAAACGGCCGCGGUAUCUUGACCGUGCGAAGGUAGCAUAAUCACUUGUCUCCUAAAUAGAGACUGGUAUGAAUGGCAAGACGGAACUUAACUGUCUCCUUUUCUCCUAUCCUAAUUUCACUUUCCCGUGAAGAGGCGGGAAAAUAUUCGCUAGACGAGAAGACCCUGUCGAGCUUAAGCAAAAUGCUAAUUUCUAACUCCUCUUAAUUAUAUUCUAAUUUUUUCUGCUAAACGUAACUAAGAGAAAAUUAUUAGUACAAGCUUUGGUUGGGGCAACCACGGAGAAGAAAAAUCCUCCGCUUACAAUAAAUAAAAAUAAGACCCUACAAGUCUAAUAUUGUAUAAACAAGUCAAAUGAUCCACCACGGUGAUCAAAGGAAAAAGUUACCGCAGGGAUAACAGCGUUAUCUUUUCUGAGAGUUCACAUUGACGAAAAGGUUUGCGACCUCGAUGUUGGAUCGGGACAUCCUAAGGGUGCAGAAGCUUUUAAGGGUUGGUCUGUUCGACCAUUAAAGUCCU
This 560-nucleotide ribosomal RNA is filed under the name Mellita sp. 2 Brazil, Trinidad. RNAcentral's name for it is "partial 16S ribosomal RNA". It matches the Rfam family "Bacterial large subunit ribosomal RNA", at positions 1834 to 2597 of the family's 2925-position model. The record is from RNAcentral. Lineage: Eukaryota; Metazoa; Echinodermata; Echinoidea; Clypeasteroida; Mellitidae.